Molecule: ribosomal RNA, 621 nt
Filed under: Orbilia orientalis
Lineage: Eukaryota; Fungi; Ascomycota; Orbiliomycetes; Orbiliales; Orbiliaceae
Description: eukaryotic LSU rRNA
Rfam family: Eukaryotic large subunit ribosomal RNA
Source: RNAcentral
ACCCGCUGAACUUAAGCAUAUCAAUAAGCGGAGGAAAAGAAACCAACAGGGAUUGCCUCAGUAACGGCGAGUGAAGCGGCAACAGCUCAAAUUUGAAAUCUGGGGCCUUCGGCUCCCGAGUUGUAAUUUGAAGAGGAUGUUUCGGUUGCGGUCACGGCCCAAGUUCCUUGGAACAGGACGUCAUGGAGGGUGAGAAUCCCGUACCUGGCUGCCGACUUGCUUCCAUGUGAAACUCCUUCGAAGAGUCGAGUUGUUUGGGAAUGCAGCUCAAAAUGGGUGGUAAAUUUCAUCUAAAGCUAAAUAUUGGCGGGAGACCGAUAGCGCACAAGUAGAGUGAUCGAAAGAUGAAAAGCACUUUGAAAAGAGAGUUAAACAGUACGUGAAAUUGUUGAAAGGGAAGCGCUUGCAAUCAGACUCGCUUUCGGUUGAUCAACGUUCCUUUUGGUUCGUGCACUCUGCCGUUUGCGGGCCAGCAUCAGCUGGGGCGGUGGGACAAAGACUUCAGGAAUGUGGCUCUCUUCGGGGAGUGUUAUAGCCUGUUGUGCAAUGCCACCAGUCCCGGCUGAGGUCCGCGGUUCGCUAGAUGUGGCUUAUGGUGUAAGCACCCGUCUUGAAACACGG